RNAcentral lists this ribosomal RNA (433 nucleotides) under uncultured bacterium. RNAcentral describes it as "partial 16S ribosomal RNA". It matches the Rfam family "Bacterial small subunit ribosomal RNA", at positions 29 to 507 of the family's 1533-position model. The record is from RNAcentral.
AACGAACGCUGGCGGCAGGCCCUACACAUGCAAGUCGAGCGAGGACUUCGGUCCUAGCGGCGGACGGGUGAGUAACGCGUGGGAACGUGCCCUUUGCUUCGGAAUAGCCCUGGGAAACUGGGAGUAAUACCGGAUGAGCCCUUUGGGGGAAAGAUUUAUCGGCGAAGGAUCGGCCCGCGUUGGAUUAGGUAGUUGGUGGGGUAAUGGCCUACCAAGCCGACGAUCCAUAGCUGGUUUGAGAGGAUGAUCAGCCACACUGGGACUGAGACACGGCCCAGACUCCUACGGGAGGCAGCAGUGGGGAAUCUUAGACAAUGGGGGAAACCCUGAUCUAGCCAUGCCGCGUGAGCGAUGAAGGCCUUAGGGUUGUAAAGCUCUUUCAGCUGGGAAGAUAAUGACGGUACCAGCAGAAGAAGCCCCGGCUAACUCCGUG